CUCAAGCUUGGUCCCGCCCUCAGCCUUGGCCCCGCCCCAGUUUUAGCCACUCUUAGACCCGCCUCUGUCUCAGCCUGAGCAAAUCCUGCUUUCCCGCCCUGGCGUAUCUUCGAUCCCCUCCGGUCUCUGUUUAAAACACUUGAGCACACGUGGGCUGGGUGCCGAACUCAAGGGUUCCGGACCGGGAGCUGUGGGCGCGCUAGGCUGUUGCCAGGAGCACAGCACUGUAAGUAAGCUUCAAGAGGGCAGGAGCCAGGUGGCCAUCCCUCCAGAAUGCUCCCUUGCCAAAUAGAAAGUUGGUUGUAACCUGGCCAAGCUCCUGCUAUGUCUGAAGAAUAAGGCAGACUGGAGGGAAAAAUGACCAUAAGAUCUAUAUAAUCAAGUCUAUCAGCAAGACAUAUGGGCUGCUCUCCAAGUUCUCCCAGCAUUCAUGCAUCCAGCCGGGAUAUAGGGCAGGAUUCUCAAAGUUAAGUGCAACUAAGAAGAAUUUUCAGCGCACUUAAGAUUGGCUCCUGCCUGGGGCACCUGAGUCCUCUGGAGAUUCUCAUUCUGCAGUCUGCAGCAGGACCCAUGAAUUUGCAUUUUAUAAAGUAUCCAGGUGAUUUUGAUGCAGGUAACCCUUUGACCUCACGCUGAGAAAAUGCUAGUUUCACUUUGGUUAAUAUUAACUGUUUCAUAUAUACAUAUACAUAUAUAUAUAUUAUUUGUUCAAAGAAAUUCUUAGUAUUUCCAGAUGAAUAAAAAGGAUUUAAUAUUGAAUAAAAGGGAUGCCAAAGAAGUUCUCUUGGAAGACUGGAAAGUUUUUUGGAGGACAUGAUAAAUAGAAUUUGAAUAAGCAAAAAAAGAUUUCCUGGCUCUAACUCUAACAUGUGUAUGCAUUCAUGAUUUUUUAUGAGAUAUAUAUAUAUAUAUAUAUAUAUAUAUUUCAUUAUUUUUAUGUUGGGUGGUUGAUCAUUUCCUUACUGAAUUUGAGCUCCUGGCAUAUCUAGAAAAAUAGCCCUUUGCUGAUUAUAUGCUUUGCCAGUCCAUUACUAUAAAAAUCUAAAUAAAAUGUUUUGGUAUUUUCUUUUAUGUCAAACUUGGAAAGGCCUAUUCCAUUCUAUGAUUAUAAAAAUAUAAAACAUGAUUACCCAUGUUUUCUUCUGGGACACUGACGGCCCAGAGUGGUGGUGCUGCUAAGAUCCAGAUCUUCUUGAAAAGGGUACUGCCUGGCUCCCGGCAUGGCAGAGAAGUCUUUGCACUCCUGUGCUUGUGAAACUUGCUGGAAACCUGCCCUCUAGGGUGCCAGAAAAAACUAUUCAUAGGGAGGUGUCUUCCUGGAGUCAUUUUGCUACAAAACUACCCAAGGGAGGUGGUAAAGCAAACUUCUGGCCAAGAGGAGCUGUUACAGAUUGUACAUUGCAGGAGCUAAGCAUUUGGAGGGGCUGAGAGUCUCGCAGGAGCCUAGUGCUCGAGAAGCUAACAGCACUGCAGGAGGCAGAAAACCUAGUGGGCACAAAACUUACGAGGGAGGAUGCAUGAGGUGUGAGUUGGGGAGCUGCUGACCUCUGGGUGCUGUUGGUCACCAUGCACUGCAGAAGCUGAAUCCUCAAGAAGCUGUAAGUGCUGGAGUCUGGUGCUGAAGAAAACCACCUUUACGCUGCAGGAGGCUGCCUAACAAGACACCAGAACCAGGAAGCAAAUCCUUUUCUUUCUGCAGUCUCUCCAGCUCUCCACUGAUACAGUUUCAGUGCCAGCUAGCAAACAAUAUUUAAAGGGCUCAGGUCCAUUUUCACAGGAUAAACUUGGAGAUGAGGCAAUCAGUAGGUAACCAGCACACGUUUUCAUGAAUUCUUACUGAAUAAUAAAAGCAUUUAAGGGUAUUCAUUUUGUUCUGAGUGCAGUUGUGUGCAAUUCGCAUUAAAUUUUGUGUUGUUGUGUUUAUAUGUCACUCCUGUUUCCUAAUUAGAAUGUCAUUGAUGCUUUUGCUUUCUGUGAGUCAAUAAUUACAUACAUUUUAUUUUUAGCUAACAGGUGGAUUUUUAUUUAUUAUUUAUGUUUUCUUGCUGCAUAAGUAUUUACAUAUCACAUUGCAAUAAAAAAUGUGCCUUUACUAGUUGUACUAUUUGAGAUCUAUUAAGAUUUGCUUUAGAGCAUUUUUAAAAUGUUUCAUGGGUUUUUGAAAAGAAUAUAGGUCUGUAUGGUAAAAGCUCAAUACAUAUACUAAGUAAGCUUUAAAAUUGUAUGUUAUAUUUAAAAUAUACAUUAUAUAUAAUAUGUAUAUUAUAUAUAAAUAUACAUUUAAAAUGUAUAUUAUAUUGUUAACUUGGUCUUUAGAAAACAGAUUAAUGUCUCUGAUUUUUUUUAAUUUUUACUUUAAUUUCUCAUAAAUUUUAUUUUGUAUAUUUUUGUGCUAUGUUAUUUGGUAUAUACUCAUUAAUGUAGAUUGGAAGAGCAUAUCCAAUUUUUGUCAUAGUAUAUUUGCCUAGGUAUGUGGUAAAUAGCAGAUAUUCAAUAGACACUUAUCUAAUGAUGGCCUUAAUUUAAAAAAAAAAUCAUUUUUGAAUACUAUUUGUUUAUUAGCACCAAUAUCAUAUCACUUAUAUUCUUAGAAUAAGCUUUAAAAUGUUAGCCAGAAAGAAGUGUAUUCAAAAGAUGGCAAGAUUAGCAAAACUGUGGAUAAUUACUAAAGUUGGAUGAUGAUACAUGAGAAUGAAUAAUACUGUUUUCCUUUUUUUUAUUGCUUGAAGUUUUUCAUAGUCAAAAAUUCAAAAUUAUGCAUACAUAAUUACUUAUUAAUUCUCCUCUUUGUAGGAUAAAUAAUUACUUAUUAAUUCUCCCCUUUGUAGGAUAAAACAGUUAUUCCUUCUAGUGGUUUCAGGUUUGGUUUUUUUGGUUUUUUGUUGUUGUUGUUCAGAGUCAGAGGAUCAUUCAUAGAAAUACAAGGCUUGGGCUACAUUCAUCAUGUAAACUGACAUCCAGUAUUUUCCAAUAUUCAUCCAAUAUUCUCCAUUGUGUCCCCCGCUUAAAAUACUUAAAGGUUUAGUCUGCUUGUUUGUUUAAUUAAUACUUGAGCCUUAAAACGACUGCAGGCCUGGCUGAAAACCUUAGUGGCAGCCGUGCGAGAAACCCAGAGCCAGAGCACUCAGCUCAGCUGUGCCCCUAUGGAAACUAUGAGAUAAUAAGUGUUUUAAACCACUAAGUUUUGAAGUGAUUUGUUAUGCAACAGUAAUCAUUAAUACAGCACCCAAUAUACUUCCAACUGAUUCAUUUUCUAUUUGAAUCUACCUGAGUUAAAUUAACCUAAAUUAAUUUUUGUUCUUUGGUAUCUUGUACCUUGACUGAUACAGAUGCUUACUACAUUUUCUUAGUAAUUUUUUAGUCUAAUUUUUUCUCACUACUCAGUCAACUAGUAUUUAUGAGUACUUUUUCAAAACUAGUAUAUAGUUGAUAGAUUCUGUAGUUCUCUUACUUAAGCAUUUUCAAAUGCAAUUCAAACUAAGAGAUGCAUUUUAUUACCCAGUGACAUAUACACAUGGGGACACAUACACACCAAAUUUCCUUACUUUUAAUAUAUGCUGUAUUCUUUUACAUCGAUAUUCUGUUCUCUUUGACUCAGAAAUAAAUGCUAGUUACAAUGUACUAAAUCAAUUUAAUGACUGACUAAUAAGUCAGUGUUUGAAAAACAUGACUAUAAACUAUCCUUCUUUCUCUUUCCCUUUCUCUCUUUUUGUUUUAGCAUUUUGAGUUGUGCAUGAUACAUCAGAGUCCAGUCUGUUUUCUUUUUUUCUUUUUCCUUAGAGAAGUAAUCUGUUUGUUUGGUUGUUUUCCCCACCUGGGUGCCCUUAGAAAAUUUUUUCCUUUAUCCUUGAAAGUAAUUUAUUUUUUCAGAUAUUCCACAUGUCCCUUCCAUUUGAAAAGUGACAUGUUUUCUGAGUUCAGGGAUAUUUUCUUCUAUUUUGGAAUUAGAAAUCCAAGUUUCUUACCUUCUUUUCCCCCAGGGCUCAGGUAUUUAUCCUUUGACCUAAAGGUCUGGGAGAGUUUCUUAAAUAACCAUGUAAAUCACUGACUAUGUUUUUAGCAAUAGCUAAUAGGUAUUUUUUUUUUUUAUUACUGACAUGGUGUUUUAAAAUUAGAUGGUUGUUUUUGAAUCUAUACAAGCUUUUUCUGUUGUCAGAUUGUAUCCAUGCAUAUUUGCAAAACAUAUCUGAGAAAGUACAUUUAUCUAAAUAUAUAAAUUACUUAUGUGUAAAGAUACUCAUUAGAAACAUGGGCAAAUGAUAUGAACAGACACUUGACCAGCAAAGAUGUACAGAUGGCAAAUAGGUACAUAGAAAGACGUUCUACACCACUAGCUAUUAGGGAAAGGCAAGUUAAAGCCAUGGUGACACUCUACUACACCCCUACUAAAUGGCUAAAAUUAAAAAGAAUGACAAUACCAAGUGCUGACAAGUUUACAAGCAGAUGAAACCCUCAUAAAUUGCUAAUGGAAAUCAGUGUGGCAGUUCCUCAUAAAGUUAUACACAUGUUUGUCAUAUGAUCCAGCAAUAACAUCACUCCUAAGUAUUUAACCCAGAGGAAUGAAGACAUAUGUUCCUGCAAAGACCUGUAUAUGAAUGUCUUUAAUAGGUUUAUUCAUCAUAGCUUCAAACUGGAAACAAUCCAAAUUUCCAUCAACCAGUGAGUGAAUAAACAAACUGUAGUGCAU
This is a long non-coding RNA of Acinonyx jubatus (cheetah), 4687 nucleotides long. RefSeq lists it as uncharacterized. Lineage: Eukaryota; Metazoa; Chordata; Mammalia; Carnivora; Felidae. The transcript is spliced from 3 exons. The record is from RefSeq and is a predicted model, not a curated record.